UAGGGAAUCUUCGGCAAUGGGGGGAACCCUGACCGAGCAACGCCGCGUGAGUGAAGAAGGUUUUCGGAUCGUAAAGCUCUGUUGUUAAGGAAGAACGAGUGUGAGAAUGGAAAGUUCAUGCUGUGACGGUACUUAACCAGAAAGGGACGGCUAAUUACGUGCCAGCAGCCGCGGUAAUACGUAAGGUCCGAGCGUUGUCCGGAAUCAUUGGGCGUAAAGGGUACGUAGGCGGGUAAGCAAGUUAGAAGUGAAAUCCUAUAGCUCAACUAUAGUAAGCUUUUAAAACUGCUCAUCUUGAGGUAUGGAAGGGAAAGUGGAAUUCCUAGUGUAGCGGUGAAAUGCGCAGAUAUUAGGAGGAAUACCGGUGGCGAAGGCGACUUUCUGGCCAUAACCUGACGCUGAGGUACGAAAGCGUGGGUAGCAAACAGG
Molecule: ribosomal RNA, 429 nt
Filed under: Bacteroidota bacterium
Lineage: Bacteria; Pseudomonadati; Bacteroidota
Description: Bacteroidetes bacterium partial 16S ribosomal RNA
Rfam family: Bacterial small subunit ribosomal RNA
Source: RNAcentral